RNAcentral lists this ribosomal RNA (252 nucleotides) under uncultured bacterium. Its description in RNAcentral is "partial 16S ribosomal RNA". It matches the Rfam family "Bacterial small subunit ribosomal RNA", at positions 57 to 305 of the family's 1533-position model. The record is from RNAcentral.
GCAAGUCGAACGGAAACGAUGGGAGCUUGCUCCCAGGCGUCGAGUGGCGGACGGGUGCGUAACGCGUAGGAAUCUACCCAGUAGUUGGGGACAACUCGGAGAAAUCCGAGCUAAUACCGAAUACGGUCUACGGACUAAAGGGGGCCUCUUCUUGAAAGCUCUCGCUACUGGAUGAGCCUGCGUCAGAUUAGCUUGUUGGUGGGGUAAUGGCCUACCAAGGCGACGAUCUGUAGCUGGUCUGAGAGGAUGAUC